This 417-nucleotide ribosomal RNA is filed under the name uncultured bacterium. RNAcentral describes it as "bacterial SSU rRNA". It matches the Rfam family "Bacterial small subunit ribosomal RNA", at positions 29 to 431 of the family's 1533-position model. The record is from RNAcentral.
AAUCAACGCUGGCGGCGUGCCUAACACAUGCAAGUCGCGCGCGAAAAGGGGGGGCGAACUCCCCAACGUAGAGCGACGAACGGGUGAGUAACGCGUGGGUGAUCUACCUUCGAGUGGGGAAGUAACACCGGGAAACUGGUGCUAAUACCGCAUGACAUCCCUGGUUCAUUCUGGGGAUCAAAGCCGGGGACCGCAAGGCCUGGCGCUUGAAGAGGAGCCCGCGUCCGAUUAGCUAGUUGGCGGGGAACGGCCCACCAAGGCUCCGAUCGGUAGCCGGCCUGAGAGGGCGGACGGCCACACUGGGACUGAGACACGGCCCAGACUCCUACGGGAGGGCAGCAGUGGGGAAUUUUUCGCAAUGGGGGAAACCCUGACGAAGCAACGCCGCGUGGAGGAUGAAGGCCUUCGGUCGUAACU